RNAcentral lists this ribosomal RNA (445 nucleotides) under uncultured bacterium. RNAcentral's name for it is "SSU rRNA". It matches the Rfam family "Bacterial small subunit ribosomal RNA", at positions 26 to 518 of the family's 1533-position model. The record is from RNAcentral.
AGAACGAACGCUGGCGGCAGGCCUAAUACAUGCAAGUCGAACGCACUCUUCGGAGUGAGUGGCAGACGGGUGAGUAACGCGUGGGAACCUUCCCAAUGGUACGGAAUAACUCCGGGAAACCGGUGCUAAUACCGUAUAAGCCCCUCGGGGGAAAGAUUUAUCGCCAUUGGAUGGGCCCGCGUCGGAUUAGCUAGUUGGUAAGGUAAUGGCUUACCAAGGCUACGAUCCGUAGCUGGUCUGAGAGGAUGAUCAGCCACACUGGGACUGAGACACGGCCCAGACUCCUACGGGAGGCAGCAGUAGGGAAUCUUGGACAAUGGGCGAAAGCCUGAUCCAGCCAUGCCGCGUGAGUGAAGAAGGCCUUAGGGUUGUAAAGCUCUUUUGGCGGGGACGAUAAUGACGGUACCGCAGAAUAACGCCCGGCUAACUUCGUGCCAGCAGCCGC